This is a small nucleolar RNA of Dipodomys ordii (Ord's kangaroo rat), 126 nucleotides long. The record is from Ensembl. NCBI's taxonomy places the organism in Eukaryota, Metazoa, Chordata, Mammalia, Rodentia, Heteromyidae.
AGCACUUGUAUGUGUCUUUGUUUAACUUGUAACAAAGCCUUACAGACAGUGCAAAUAGUAAAUCCUCUUUUGCAACCCAGAACUUAUUGCUGAUAUGAGAUUUUGGUACAUGUAAGAAGGAAUAUG